Molecule: non-coding RNA, 162 nt
Filed under: unclassified sequences
Also listed under: 1 other name
Description: Clostridiales-1 RNA
Rfam family: Clostridiales-1 RNA
Source: RNAcentral
CAUAAGCAGAGGAGAGCAAGGCGAGAUCGUGCAUGCACGAAAAAGCUUUUAUAUUACCGACCCGCCCAAACAUGAGAAAGAAGCGAUUUACGAAGUAAAUCAGCGGAAUUCGAAUGUUUGCAGAAUUGCGGGAGCAGCGAAGCUGCGGAGCAAUUCGCAGUG